Molecule: ribosomal RNA, 809 nt
Filed under: uncultured bacterium
Lineage: Bacteria
Description: bacterial SSU rRNA
Rfam family: Bacterial small subunit ribosomal RNA
Source: RNAcentral
AUAGAUAUCACGCAGAACCCCGAUUGCGAAGGCAGCAUACCGGCGCCCGACUGACGCUGAGGCACGAAAGUGCGGGGAUCAAACAGGAUUAGAUACCCUGGUAGUCCGCACAGUAAACGAUGAAUGCUAGUUGUCCGGGGGGAUUGACCCCUGGGUGGCACAGCGAAAGCGUUAAGCAUUCCACCUGGGGAGUACGCCGGCAACGGUGAAACUCAAAGGAAUUGACGGGGGCCCGCACAAGCGGAGGAACAUGUGGUUUAAUUCGAUGAUACGCGAGGAACCUUACCCGGGCUCAAACGCCGAAGGGACAUUCCCCGAAAGGGGAUUGGCCAGCAAUGGUCUUCGGCGAGGUGCUGCAUGGUUGUCGUCAGCUCGUGCCGUGAGGUGUCGGCUUAAGUGCCAUAACGAGCGCAACCCCCACCGACAGUUGCUAACUGGUCAAGCAGAGGACUCUGUCGGGACUGCCGGCGCAAGCUGCGAGGAAGGCGGGGAUGACGUCAAAUCAGCACGGCCCUUACGUCCGGGGCGACACACGUGUUACAAUGGCAGGUACAGCGGGAUGCCAUGGGGCGACCCAGAGCGGAACCCGAAAACCUGUCUCAGUUCGGAUUGGAGUCUGCAACCCGACUCCAUGAAGCUGGAUUCGCUAGUAAUCGCGCAUCAGCCACGGCGCGGUGAAUACGUUCCCGGGCCUUGUACACACCGCCCGUCAAGCCAUGGGAGCCGGGGGUGCCUGAAGGCCGUGACCGCGAGGAGCGGCCUAGGGUAAAACUGGUGACUGGGGCUAAGUCGUAACAAGGUAGCCGUAA